CGCCGCGUGAGGGAUGACGGCCUUCAGGGUUGUAAACCUCUUUUAGUAGGGAAGAAGCGAAAGUGACGGUACCUGCAGAAAAAGCACCGGCUAACUACGUGCCAGCAGCCGCGGUAAUACGUAGGGUGCAAGCGUUGUCCGGAAUUAUUGGGCGUAAAGAGCUCGUAGGCGGUUUGUCGCGUCUGCUGUGAAAACUGGAGGCUCAACCUCCAGCCUGCAGUGGGUACGGGCAGACUAGAGUGCGGUAGGGGAGAUUGGAAUUCCUGGUGUAGCGGUGGAAUGCGCAGAUAUCAGGAGGAACACCGAUGGCGAAGGCAGAUCUCUGGGCCGUAACUGACGCUGAGGAGCGAAAGCGUGGGGAGCGAACAGGAUUAGAUACCCUGGUAGUCCACGCCGUAAACGUUGGGAACUAGAUGUGGGGGCCAUUCCACGGUCUCCGUGUCGCAGCUAACGCAUUAAGUUCCCCGCCU
RNAcentral lists this ribosomal RNA (470 nucleotides) under Herbiconiux sp. RNAcentral's name for it is "bacterial SSU rRNA". It matches the Rfam family "Bacterial small subunit ribosomal RNA", at positions 395 to 874 of the family's 1533-position model. Lineage: Bacteria; Bacillati; Actinomycetota; Actinomycetes; Micrococcales; Microbacteriaceae. The record is from RNAcentral.